AGCUUGAGGGCUUGCUGUUAGGUGAGGCCAGUCCCUAGGGUGGGUUGCCUGCCCUGGCUGAACUGGAUUAAAUCUGUGCUCUAGUGGGCGUGGCAGACCCCUGGGGUAACAGGCCAAGGGAUGAACCUCAAUGGCCCCCACCUGGGUCUGUAUCAGCACGCCUGGACCAGCUCAGAACAAUGGCCCCCACCAAUGUCUCAGUCUCUGAAGAGGUCCCUCCUCUCACCAAGAUGCCCCCAGAUCCCACCAGAGCACAGAUCGACUCUCUUUAGAUCAUGGGAAAGCCAGUUUCAACUUUUUCAGUGUGAUCCUGAAGAUUAGCCCUGAGCUAAUCUGUGCCAAUCCUCUAUUCUUUUGUGUAUGGGACACCUCCACAGCAUGGCUGGUGAGUGGAGUAGGUACAUGCCUGGGAUCUGAACUCCUGAACCUGGGCCACUGAAGUGGAGCACACGGAACUUUAACCAAUCAGCCAUGGGGCUGGGCCCAAGGUCAUUACUUUUUGAAUGCUAUAAGUGAACAGAUGACUAUUUUAGAAAUAGGUGACCCUACUCAUUAGAUAUGCAGAUUGAUUUCACUUCUAAGCUUGAGCAAUUAGUAACCUCAAGAAGCAUGUCAGAGUGAUUUCUUCACGCAAAAGGAUGAACUCUCUUGCUUUUAUGCUGCAAUUGUAACAUACUACUUAUUAUUUCAAGGGUCAUUUUCUAAUAUAGAAGAAAUGAUUGAUAAAAUAACUAUUUCAACAGACAUUUAUCACUUACCAAAUAUGUUCCAGACAUUGUUUGAGUUGUAUAUCCAGAGAUAUAAUAAUAAUGAGAUGGGUGACCAAAUACUUCAUCACCAAAAUGAGACUCUUUUGAAAGAGGUGCUGGAAAUAACUAUACCUGAAUAAUAAAUGUGAACUGUAACUAUGGUCACUUAAAUAAAAAGGCAUAGU
RNAcentral lists this long non-coding RNA (934 nucleotides) under Equus asinus (donkey). Its description in RNAcentral is "lncRNA (ENSEASG00005033200.1)". The record is from RNAcentral. Lineage: Eukaryota; Metazoa; Chordata; Mammalia; Perissodactyla; Equidae.